UCGAGAAUUUUUCUCAAUGAGCGAAAGCUUGAAGGAGCGACGCCGCGUGGGGGAUGAAGGGCUUCGGCUCGUAAACCCCUGUCAUUUGUGAACAAACCCUUAUAUUUAAUAGAUAUAAGGUUGAUAGUAGCGAAAGAGGAAGGGACGGCUAACUCUGUGCCAGCAGCCGCGGUAAUACAGAGGUCCCAAGCGUUGUUCGGAAUCACUGGGCGUAAAGGGUGCGUAGGUGGUCAUUCAAGUUUGAUGUGAAAUCUCCGGGCUUAACUCGGAAAGUGCAUUAAAAACUGAGUGGCUGGAGGGUUGGAGGGGAGACUGGAAUUCUCGGUGUAGCAGUGAAAUGCGUAGAUAUCGAGAGGAACACCAGUGGCGAAGGCGAGUCUCUGGACAACACCUGACACUGAGGCACGAAAGCUAGGGGAGCAAACA
RNAcentral lists this ribosomal RNA (426 nucleotides) under uncultured prokaryote. Its description in RNAcentral is "bacterial SSU rRNA". It matches the Rfam family "Bacterial small subunit ribosomal RNA", at positions 355 to 774 of the family's 1533-position model. The record is from RNAcentral.